CAGCCAAGUCGUGAGGCGGAGCUAAUCCCUUAAAGCCAUUCUCAGUUCGGAUUGUAGGCUGAAACUCGCCUACAUGAAGCUGGAGUUACUAGUAAUCGCAGAUCAGAAUGCUGCGGUGAAUGCGUUCCCGGGUCUUGUACACACCGCCCGUCACACCACGGAAGUUGGGGGCGCCCGAAGCCACUUAGCUAACCCUUUUGGGAAGCGAGUGUCGAAGGUGAAAUCAAUAACUGGGGUGAAGUCGUAACAAGGUACC
This 256-nucleotide ribosomal RNA is filed under the name uncultured bacterium. Its description in RNAcentral is "partial 16S ribosomal RNA". It matches the Rfam family "Bacterial small subunit ribosomal RNA", at positions 1247 to 1500 of the family's 1533-position model. The record is from RNAcentral.